This is a non-coding RNA of Acanthosepion pharaonis, 111 nucleotides long. The record is from the annotation of a GenBank genome assembly. Lineage: Eukaryota; Metazoa; Mollusca; Cephalopoda; Sepiida; Sepiidae.
CAGCCAAAUCAUAUUGAAACACCUGUUCACAUAUGAUCACUGAAGUUAAGCAAUGUCAAGCCUAGUCAGUACCAAGAUGGGUGGCAACUUGGGAAUACCAGGUGCUGUAAG